RNAcentral lists this ribosomal RNA (253 nucleotides) under uncultured bacterium. RNAcentral's name for it is "partial 16S ribosomal RNA". It matches the Rfam family "Bacterial small subunit ribosomal RNA", at positions 524 to 776 of the family's 1533-position model. The record is from RNAcentral.
UACAGAGGUCCCUAGCGUUGUUCGGAUUCACUGGGCGUAAAGGGUGCGUAGGCGGUUUGGUAAGUCUCGUGUGAAAUCUCCGGGCUCAACUCGGAGCCUGCACGAGAAACUGCCGGGCUUGAGUGUGGGAGAGGUGAGUGGAAUUCCUGGUGUAGCGGUGAAAUGCGUAGAUAUCAGGAGGAACACCUGUGGCGAAAGCGGCUCACUGGACCAUAACUGACGCUGAUGCACGAAAGCUAGGGGAGCAAACAGG